GCCUUAGCAGUGUAGUGGUGUGCACACUUGACAUGUAACCGAGAGGUCCGUGGUUCAAUUCCCGGCGAAGGCG
RNAcentral lists this transfer RNA (73 nucleotides) under Stegodyphus mimosarum. It matches the Rfam family "tRNA". Rfam says of the family: Transfer RNA (tRNA) molecules are approximately 80 nucleotides in length. Their secondary structure includes four short double-helical elements and three loops (D, anti-codon, and T loops). Lineage: Eukaryota; Metazoa; Arthropoda; Arachnida; Araneae; Eresidae. The record is from Rfam by way of RNAcentral.